AAUUAGUGUUAUCACCUGGAUGUGUCGGAGUGGGCGAGGACCUUCUUCCUGUCUCUCGCCUUCAUUCUGUAAUCAAUCGUGGACGGAUCUCCACGCGUAUAAGUUAGUUACCCUCCAAGGCACACAGUAUUAGAGCGAUGUCAGGAACCAAGAGGAUGAUGGUGGCGGUGCUGACUGUAGUCGCUGUCUUGGGAGUCAUAGGGAUGAGGACAGCUGAGGCCGCGGUGCAUUUCGAGCCCAAGUGUAUAGACUGUGGACCUCCCACACUUCCCAGCUGUCCAGAGUGUCAUAAAUAUGAUACCGUGAACAAAGAGUGUAUGAAACUAUACAACUGUUCACCGUUGAAGGUAUAAGAAGCUCCCAGUGCCAUCACCAUGUUGUCAAUAUACCACCACCACCAUCAAUCACCAUUCUGUUACUAUACCACACCACCACCACCACCAUGCAUGCCGUCACUA
This is a long non-coding RNA of Homarus americanus (American lobster), 458 nucleotides long. RefSeq lists it as uncharacterized. The record is from RefSeq and is a predicted model, not a curated record. The transcript has 3 exons. NCBI's taxonomy places the organism in Eukaryota, Metazoa, Arthropoda, Malacostraca, Decapoda, Nephropidae.